AUACGUAGGGAGCGAGCGUUGUCCGGAAUUACUGGGUGUAAAGGGAGCGUAGGCGGGAGAGCAAGUCAGAUGUGAAAUACAUGGGCUCAACCCAUGGGCUGCAUUUGAAACUGCAUUUCUUGAGUGAAGUAGAGGUAAGCGGAAUUACUGGUGUAGCGGUGAAAUGCGUAGAUAUCAGGAGGAACACCGGUGGCGAAGGCGGCUUACUGGGCUUUUGCUGACGCUGAGGCUCGAAAGCGUGGGGAGCAAACAGGAUUAGAUACCCUGGUAGUCCACGCUGUAAACGAUGAUUACUAGGUGUGGGGGGACUGACCCCUUCCGUGCCGCAGUUAACACAAUAAGUAAUCCACCUGGGGAGUACGGCCGCAAGGUUGAAACUCAAAUGAAUUGACGGGG
RNAcentral lists this ribosomal RNA (396 nucleotides) under uncultured bacterium. Its description in RNAcentral is "partial 16S ribosomal RNA". It matches the Rfam family "Bacterial small subunit ribosomal RNA", at positions 523 to 918 of the family's 1533-position model. The record is from RNAcentral.